This 301-nucleotide ribosomal RNA is filed under the name uncultured bacterium. Its description in RNAcentral is "partial 16S ribosomal RNA". It matches the Rfam family "Bacterial small subunit ribosomal RNA", at positions 509 to 808 of the family's 1533-position model. The record is from RNAcentral.
CAGCAGCCGCGGGAAUACGUAUGCCACGAGCGUUAUCCGGAUUUAUUGGGCGUAAAGCGCGUCUAGGUGGUUAUAUAAGUCUGAUGUGAAAAUGCAGGGCUCAACUCUGUAUUGCGUUGGAAACUGUAUAACUAGAGUACUGGAGAGGUAAGCGGAACUACAAGUGUAGAGGUGAAAUUCGUAGAUAUUUGUAGGAAUGCCGAUGGGGAAGCCAGCUUACUGGACAGAUACUGACGCCGAAGCGCGAAAGCGUGGGUAGCAAACAGGAUUAGAUACCCGCGUAGUCCCUGUCUCUUAUACA